RNAcentral lists this ribosomal RNA (483 nucleotides) under uncultured bacterium. RNAcentral describes it as "partial 16S ribosomal RNA". It matches the Rfam family "Bacterial small subunit ribosomal RNA", at positions 29 to 506 of the family's 1533-position model. The record is from RNAcentral.
AUUGAACGCUGGCGGCAUGCUUUACACAUGCAAGUCGAACGGCAGCGCGGGCUUCGGCCUGGCGGCGAGUGGCUAACGGGUGAGUAAUGCAUCGGAACGUGCCCAGUAGUGGGGGAUAGCCCGGCGAAAGCCGGAUUAAUACCGCAUACGACCUGAGGGUGAAAGCGGGGGACCGAAAGGCCUCGCGCUAUUGGAGCGGCCGAUGUCGGAUUAGCUAGUUGGUGGGGUAAAGGCUUACCAAGGCGACGAUCCGUAGCUGGUCUGAGAGGACGACCAGCCACACUGGGACUGAGACACGGACCAGAAUCCUAAGGGAGGCAGCAGUGGGGAAUUUUGGAAAAAGGGGGCAAACCUGAUCCAGCCAUGCCGCGGGGGGGAAGAAGGCCUUCGGGUUGUAAAACGCUUUUGUUCGGGAAGAAAUCCUCUGGGCUAAUACCCCGGGGGGAUGACGGUACAGGAAGAAUAAGCACAGGCUAACUACGU